Delphinapterus leucas (beluga whale) is the source of this 8132-nucleotide non-coding RNA. NCBI's taxonomy places the organism in Eukaryota, Metazoa, Chordata, Mammalia, Artiodactyla, Monodontidae. The record is from RefSeq and is a predicted model, not a curated record.
CUCCGCCGCAAACUUUUUCCACCCCAUCCUGUCGCGGCUCGAAAGGAAUGGAAAAUGGCGGCCUAGGAGCGGAGUUUCCUGGCGGAGCGGCGGCGGCGGCCUGGGCGGCGGGACGCGGGCGGCGGCAUGACGCGCUGGGUGCCCACCAAGCGGGAGGAGAAAUACGGCGUGGCUUUUUAUAACUAUGAUGCCAGGGGAGCGGAUGAACUUUCUUUACAAAUAGGAGACACCGUGCACAUCCUGGAAACGUAUGAAGGGUGGUACAGAGGUUACACCUUAAGGAAAAAGUCUAAGAAGGGUAUAUUUCCUGCUUCAUAUAUUCAUCUUAAAGAAGCCAUAGUUGAAGGAAAAGGGCAACAUGAAACGGUCAUCCCAGGCGACCUCCCGCUCAUACAGGAAGUCACCACAACACUGAGAGAGUGGUCCACCAUCUGGAGGCAGCUCUACGUGCAAGAUAACAGGGAGAUGUUUCGAAACGUUCGGCACAUGAUCUACGACCUUAUUGAGUGGCGAUCGCAAAUUCUUUCUGGAACUCUGCCACAGGAUGAGCUCAAAGAACUGAAGAAGAAAGUCACUGCCAAAAUUGAUUAUGGAAACAGGAUCCUUGAUUUGGACUUGGUGGUGAGAGAUGAAGAUGGGAACAUUCUGGAUCCAGAACUAACUAGCACGAUUAGUCUUUUCAGAGCUCAUGAAGUAGCUUCUAAACAAGUGGAGGAAAGAUUACAAGAAGAAAAGUCUCAAAAGCAGAACAUAGACAUUAACAGACAAGCCAAGUUUGCUGCCACCCCUUCUCUGGCCUUGUUUGUUAACCUCAAAAACGUGGUGUGUAAAAUCGGAGAAGAUGCUGAAGUGCUCAUGUCUCUGUAUGACCCAGUGGAGUCCAAGUUCAUCAGUGAAAACUACCUGGUUCGCUGGUCAAGUUCAGGAUUGCCUAAAGAUAUAGACAGAUUACAUAACUUGCGAGCUGUCUUCACUGAUCUCGGAAGCAAAGACCUGAAACGGGAGAAAAUCAGUUUUGUGUGUCAGAUCGUUCGAGUGGGUCGCAUGGAACUGAGAGACAAUAACACAAGGAAGCUGACCUCCGGCUUGCGGCGGCCUUUCGGGGUGGCUGUGAUGGAUGUAACAGAUAUAAUAAAUGGAAAAGUAGAUGAUGAAGACAAACAGCAUUUCAUUCCCUUUCAGCCGCUCGCGUUGGACGACGCCAUUCGACACAAGCCGCUGAACAUGUCAUCCCGUUUUUCACCCAGGGUGGCGGGGGAGAAUGACUUCCUUCAGACUGUUAUAAACAAAGUCAUUGCUGCCAAAGAAGUCAACCACAAGGGCCAGGGUUUGUGGGUAACAUUGAAAUUACUUCCUGGAGAUAUCCAUCAGAUUAGAAAAGAAUUUCCUCAUUUGGUGGACAGGACCACAGCAGUGGCUCGGAAAACGGGGUUUCCGGAGAUAAUCAUGCCUGGUGAUGUCCGAAACGAUAUCUACGUAACAUUAGUUCAAGGAGAUUUUGAUAAAGGAAGCAAAACGACGGCAAAGAAUGUUGAGGUUACAGUGUCUGUUUACGAUGAAGAUGGAAAACGACUGGAGCAUGUGAUUUUCCCGGGCGCUGGCGAUGAAGCUAUUUCAGAAUACAAGUCCGUGAUUUAUUACCAAGUGAAACAGCCGCGCUGGUUUGAGACGGUUAAGGUGGCCAUCCCCAUUGAGGACGUGAACCGCAGUCACCUCCGGUUUACCUUCCGACAUAGAUCGUCCCAGGACUCUAAGGAUAAAUCCGAGAAGAUAUUCGCACUCGCUUUUGUAAAGCUGAUGCGCUACGAUGGGACCACCCUAAGAGACAGGGAACAUGAUCUUAUUGUCUAUAAGGCCGAAGCGAAGAAGCUGGAAGACGCCGGCACGUACUUGAGCCUGCCGUCCACCAAAGCUGAGUUGGAAGAGAAGGGCCACUCGGCGACGGGGAAGAGCAUGCAGAGUCUUGGGAGCUGCACCAUCAGUAAAGAUUCCUUCCAGAUCUCAACUCUCGUGUGCUCCACCAAACUGACCCAGAACGUGGACCUGCUGGGGCUGCUGAAGUGGCGAUCCAACACCAGCCUGCUGCACCAGAACCUGAGACAGCUGAUGAAGGUGGAUGGCGGCGAAGUGGUGAAGUUCCUCCAGGACACCUUGGAUGCACUCUUCAACAUCAUGAUGGAGAAUUCGGAGAGCGAGACCUUUGAUACAUUAGUGUUUGAUGCUCUGGUAUUUAUCAUUGGACUAAUUGCCGAUAGAAAAUUUCAGCAUUUUAAUCCUGUUUUGGAAACCUACAUUAAGAAACACUUUAGUGCAACAUUAGCCUACACGAAGCUGACGAAAGUUUUAAGGAACUAUGUGGACAAUGCCGAGAGGCCAGGAAUCAGCGACCAGCUGUAUAAAGCCAUGAAAGCUUUAGAGUACAUCUUCAAGUUCAUCGUGCGCUCCCGGAUCCUGUUCAAUCAGCUGUACGAAAACAAAGGAGAGGCCGAUUUCGUGGAGUCCUUGGUGCAGCUGUUCCGGUCCAUCAGCGACAUGAUGAGCGGCGUGUCAGACCAGACCGUCCGGGUGAAGGGUGCAGCGCUGAAAUACUUGCCAACCAUUGUCAACGAUGUGAAAUUGGUAUUUGAUCCCAAAGAGCUCAGCAAAAUGUUUACUGAUUUCAUCCUAAAUGUUCCCGUGGGUUUGCUGACCAUUCAGAAGCUAUAUUGCUUGAUUGAAAUAAUUCACAGUGACCUCUUCACACAGCAUGACUGCAGAGAGAUCCUGCUUCCCAUGAUGACGGAUCAGCUCAAGUACCAUCUGGAGAGACAGGAAGAUCUGGAGGCCUGCUGCCAGCUGCUCAGCAACAUCCUGGAGGUUCUGUACAGGAAGGACGUGGGACCAACUCAGAGGCAUGUCCAGAUUAUCAUGGAGAAGCUUCUCCGGACAGUGAACCGAACCGUCAUUUCCAUGGGACGGGAUUCCGAACUCAUCGGAAACUUCGUGGCCUGUAUGACAGCUAUUUUACGACAAAUGGAAGAUUAUCAUUAUGCCCAUUUGAUCAAGACUUUUGGGAAAAUGAGGACCGAUGUGGUGGAUUUUCUGAUGGAAACAUUCAUCAUGUUUAAGAACCUCAUUGGGAAGAAUGUCUACCCUUUCGACUGGGUGAUCAUGAACAUGAUGCAGAAUAAAGUCUUUCUGCGAGCGAUUAAUCAGUAUGCAGAUAUGCUGAACAAAAAAUUUCUGGAUCAAGCCAACUUUGAGCUGCAGCUGUGGAACAACUAUUUUCACCUGGCUGUCGCUUUCCUCACUCAAGAGUCCUUGCAGCUGGAGAAUUUUUCAAGUGCAAAGAGAGGGAAAAUCCUUAACAAGUACGGAGAUAUGAGGAGACAGAUUGGCUUCGAAAUCAGGGACAUGUGGUACAACCUUGGUCAACACAAGAUAAAGUUCAUUCCAGAAAUGGUCGGCCCAAUAUUAGAAAUGACACUGAUUCCUGAGACAGAGCUUCGCAAAGCCACCAUCCCCAUCUUCUUUGACAUGAUGCAGUGUGAAUUCCAUUCCACCCGAAGCUUCCAGAUGUUUGAAAAUGAGAUCAUCACCAAGCUGGAUCAUGAAGUGGAAGGAGGUAGAGGCGAUGAGCAGUACAAAGUGUUAUUUGAUAAAAUUCUCUUAGAGCACUGCAGGAAGCACAAAUACCUUGCCAAAACGGGAGAAACUUUUGUAAAGCUCGUCGUGCACCUGAUGGAAAGACUUCUGGAUUACAGAACCAUCAUGCAUGAUGAGAACAAAGAAAAUCGCAUGAGCUGCACUGUCAACGUGCUGAAUUUCUACAAAGAGAUUGAAAGAGAAGAAAUGUAUAUAAGGUAUUUGUACAAGCUCUGUGACCUGCACAAGGAAUGUGAUAACUACACUGAAGCAGCCUAUACCUUGCUUCUCCAUGCGAAGCUUCUGAAGUGGUCGGAGGACGUGUGCGCGGCCCACCUCACCCAGCGGGACGGGUACCAGGCGACAACACAGGGACAGCUGAAAGAGCGGCUCUACCAGGAAAUCAUCCACUACUUCGACAAAGGCAAGAUGUGGGAAGAGGCCAUCGCCCUGGGCAAGGAACUGGCUGAACAGUAUGAAAACGAGAUAUUUGAUUAUGAACAACUUAGCGAAUUGCUGAAAAAACAGGCUCAAUUUUAUGAAAACAUCGUCAAGGUGAUAAGACCCAAGCCUGACUAUUUUGCCGUCGGUUACUACGGACAAGGAUUCCCCACGUUCCUUCGGGGGAAAGUUUUCAUUUACCGUGGGAAGGAGUAUGAACGCCGGGAAGAUUUUGAAGCUCGGCUAUUAACUCAGUUUCCAAAUGCUGAGAAAAUGAAGACAACAUCUCCACCAGGCGACGAUAUUAAAAACUCUGCUGGCCAAUAUAUUCAAUGCUUCACAGUAAAGCCCAAACUCGAUUUGCCCCCUAAGUUUCACAGGCCCGUGUCAGAGCAGAUUGUAAGUUUUUACAGAGUAAACGAGGUCCAGCGAUUUGAAUAUUCUCGUCCGAUCCGCAAGGGAGAGAAAAACCCAGACAACGAAUUUGCGAAUAUGUGGAUCGAAAGGACCAUAUACACAACUGCGUAUAAAUUGCCUGGCAUUUUAAGGUGGUUUGAGGUCAAAUCUGUUUUCAUGGUGGAGAUCAGCCCCCUGGAGAACGCCAUCGAGACCAUGCAGCUGACGAACGACAAGAUAAACAGCAUGGUGCAGCAGCACCUGGACGACCCCAGCCUCCCUGUCAGCCCCCUCUCCAUGCUCCUGAACGGCAUCGUGGACCCCGCCGUCAUGGGAGGCUUUGCAAAUUACGAAAAGGCCUUCUUUACAGAGCGGUACCUGCAGGAGCACCCCGAGGCCCACGAAAAGAUCGAGAAGCUCAAGGACCUGAUUGCAUGGCAGAUUCCAUUUUUGGCCGAAGGGAUCAGGAUUCAUGGAGACAAAGUCACAGAAGCACUACGGCCAUUUCAUGAGAGAAUGGAAGCCUGUUUCAAACAGUUAAAGGAAAAAGUGGAGAAGCAGUACGGAGUCCGGACCAUGCCCUCAAGUCUGGACGACAGAAGAGGCAGCCGUCCCCGGUCCAUGGUCCGAUCCUUCACAAUGCCUUCCUCGUCCCGGCCUCUGUCUGUGGCCUCUGUCUCGUCCCUGUCAUCAGACAGCACCCCUUCCAGGCCGGGCUCCGACGGGUUUGCUCUGGAGCCCCUCCUGCCAAAGAAAAUGCACUCCCGGUCCCAGGACAAGCUAGACAAGGACGACCCAGAUAAAGAGAAGAAGGACAAGAAGAAGGAAAAAAGGAACAGCAAACAUCAAGAGAUAUUUGAUAAAGAAUUUAAACCCACCGACAUUCCCCUGCAGCAAUCUGAGGCUGUGAUCCUUUCAGAAACGAUAAGUCCCCUGCGGCCCCAGAGACCGAAGAGCCAGGUGAUCAACGUCAUGGGCAGUGAAAGGCGCUUCUCGGUGUCACCGUCCUCCCCGUCCUCCCAGCACACGCCUCCUCCGGUCACACCGAGGGCCAAGCUCAGCUUCAGCCUGCAGUCCAGUUUGGAGCUGAAUGGCAUGACUGGACUGGACGUGGCUGAGGUUCCGCCCCCUCUGCCUCUCAAAGGCACCAGCGCAGACUACGGGGCCUUGACCGAGAACCUGGACCUGACAGGCCUGCCGAGCCCCCCGCCCCCUCCUCCUCAGCAGAGGGUAAGUCAGGACUCGGGGCGUCGGUGGCUCACAUCCUUCUCCGCACCAGGUACAAACCCCUCCUUCCUGGUGUUAGCGUGUUGACUCUGGGCAAGCCGAGAUGUGAUUCCGAGCAGAGGUCACAGUGGAUGGAACGUCGGCGCGUGUGGUCUGUCGUUCUGUGUCCUCGCUGCAGGGACGCACUUUCCCACGGGGCCCUCAGGACGAGGCAAAGGGGGAAGAACUCCAGCCAGUGGAUCGAAGGGCCACUCUCGUGACCUUGGAGGUCACUGCACUUCUUAGGAAAGUGUGGUGUUGAGAAGUAGCUUUUGUAUGAAGAGGUUUGUCUGACUUUUUAAGAAGCCGGCCGAUGCCACACGUGGUCGGGGGCCUGUGCUCCUGGACACCAGCCUCGCUCUUGAGAAGCCCAGGUCCCGGCAGUUCCUCCAGGCAGCCCCACCCUCGCACCGGCCACUCCCGGGUGGGGACAGGCAUUUGCUGCACAGAGAAUCUGCAGAGGAGAAGCAAGGUGGGGCAAACCCUGUUCCCCGAGGCCACCCAUCCCUAGCCACACCUCUAGCCCUGAAACCUACUCCACCCCGUUUAGAUUCGGGGUGCUGGCUGCCACAAGCAUGGUCUGCCAACUCGAACCCUCGUCAACACUGGUGCCCAGGCUAGUCCCCCCUCGGAGACCGUCAUUAAUCGUGUCUGAUGUGCUCACUGCUCUGGCCUCUGGGCCUGCCUACUUAUGCAAACGUCAGCUAAAAGCCUGAAAAAAACACCUAAACCCGUGCCUCUGUUACCGGCUCACGGCUCUAGAAACGUCCUUUUGAGAUCCCCCCGCAUUCUCUCCUGCUUCUUAAGGCUGCUGUCACACAGGCCUCUCCUUUGUUCACUGGCCCGGCUGCGUGCAGAGGUCCGCGUGCCCACGUGAAAUGACCCAGCAGCGCCGGGUGAUCGCAUCCAGGUUCAUCCCUCCCCCAGCCACGCUAUUCACAGCCUAAUGAAAUUAAAGCCAUGCAGGCUGAGGAGUAGAAUAUCCCCGAUCACACGUGCAGCUGGUCAGCCUCUAUAACGUAAUUAUACGGCAACAGAACUCCUGUAGAAGAACAUCGAAGACAUGAGGUAGUCAUGUGGCCACGAUUCUUUUCAUAACAGCAAGCUGUGUUUUUUCCCCUUCUAAAACAAUAUAAAUCCUGCAUUCUUUUUUCUUUCUUUUUUUUUUUAAUGGAGACUUUUUCACUGAGCUUUCUGCAAGUUUAUUAUCUUCUUGUGAGAGGAGCAGAAGAAAGAGGGGGUUUAUUGACAGUAUAUUUAUGCGAUUAUUCCUCUUGCGUAAGAAAACCAGACAAGCGGUGGGGCUUCCUCUUUGGUGCUGAAGGGGUGGUUCGUGCUUCCAAGGCUGCAGUGCCUUUCGGGUCAGCCCUCUGUCCCUCGAGAUUCCAUGAUGGGGGACCGGCCGGAGAAGGGACCCGGUGCCCCAUGAUGGCUUUUUAGGAAGCUGGAACAGUUUGUAGCAACUAAGGAAAUGUAAGUCUGACCCUUCCCGCGAGUUUCACGACAGGUUAGAAUAAAAAGAGACGCAGGGAGUUGAGAGAGAUCGUUGAUUGGUUGAAGUGUUGUUUUCUUAACAGCGUAGUUAACCAUCUUGAUUUUCAUAUCUUUAUUUUAUCGGAAAAGCAAGAAUGUCCCCCAGGUCUCCCUACACUGAAAAUUCUGAACUUGGAAGUGUGAAGCAAGUCCAUUUUUGUUACAAAUCAAUUCAGGGGCAACAUUUGAUGGUCUCGGCUUCUGGGACACAUCCUCUGAGUUACUGCUGCCACUGCUGUUGGAGGAAGGACAAACAUGCACAAGCUUCGGCUCCAUUUAUAAAGGGGUGUGAGUUCCAUGAGAUUAAUUACCCAAGUCGCCUUGCUCUCGGUGUCUUGUAUGACAUACCUGCAGUGUGAGUACCCCUUCAGGAGGCAUGCCUCUGGGUUAGCGUGUCAUCUCUGGAAGCAGCUGGGUUUCCAGGGGUGCCUCCCUUUCGGGCCCCAAGAGCUGUUGUGGGAUAAUGAUCGGUUCGCCCUCCAUGGGGGCUGAUACAUGUCCUCCUGUCACUCUCAUUGAUCAGCCUCGGGCUUGUAGUCAACUCUCUCUCUAGUUGUUGCCAGUUUAAGCUGUCGUUUCUUUCAAAAUGCCUGUUACGACCGGUAGUCCGAGCUCCCGAGCCGCCCAGUGGUGAUGAACCCACCAUGCACGUCUUUGGCACAGAGGGCAGUUCCGACCGCCGCCUGGCCCCGCGCCGCUCACACCGGCCCGCACUGUUUACUUCCAUGUGUCAGCAAGCAAACGCCUCAACAGAGCCAGAAAUCGCAUCUCCCCCCUCCGCUGCCCAGCAAGACCCCACCGCCACCGCCUCCCAAGACGACGCGCAAGCAGACCUCAGUGGACUCCGGGAUCGUGCAGUGAAUGUGCAGCGC